UACAGAGGGGGCAAGCGUUGUUCGGAAUUACUGGGCGUAAAGGGCGCGUAGGCGGCCUUCUAAGUCGAACGUGAAAUCCCCGGGCUCAACCCGGGAACUGCGUCCGAUACUGGAGGGCUUGAAUCCGGGAGAGGGAUGUGGAAUUCCUGGUGUAGCGGUGAAAUGCGCAGAUAUCAGGAGGAACACCGAUUGCGAAGGCAGCUCGCUGGGACGUCACUGACGCUGAGACGCGAAAGCGUGGGGAGCAAACAGG
Molecule: ribosomal RNA, 253 nt
Filed under: uncultured bacterium
Lineage: Bacteria
Description: partial 16S ribosomal RNA
Rfam family: Bacterial small subunit ribosomal RNA
Source: RNAcentral